RNAcentral lists this ribosomal RNA (1349 nucleotides) under metagenome. Its description in RNAcentral is "bacterial LSU rRNA". It matches the Rfam family "Bacterial large subunit ribosomal RNA", at positions 1556 to 2925 of the family's 2925-position model. The record is from RNAcentral.
CGAAGACGUGAUGCGGACCGAAUUAAGAGUAGGGAAGUGUGUGAGCCAUGCGUCAAGAAAAGCCGCUAUUGUUUUACUUAAGCCCGUACCGUAAACCGACACAGGUGGAUGAGGAGAGAAUCCUAAGGCCGACGGGAGAAGCAUUGUUAAGGAACUCGGCAAAAUGACUCCGUAACUUCGGGAGAAGGAGUGCCAGCGAGAGCUGGCCGCAGAGAAUUGGCCCAAGCAACUGUUUAGCAAAAACACAGGUCUAUGCAAAACCGUAAGGUGAAGUAUAUGGGCUGACGCCUGCCCGGUGCUGGAAGGUUAAGAGGAGAGGUUAGCGGCAACGCGAAGCUUUGAAUUUAAGCCCCAGUAAACGGCGGCCGUAACUAUAACGGUCCUAAGGUAGCGAAAUUCCUUGUCGGGUAAGUUCCGACCCGCACGAAAGGCGUAAUGAUUUGGGCACUGUCUCAACAAUGCACCCGGUGAAAUUGAAAUACCAGUGAAGAUGCUGGUUACCUGCGCCAGGACGGAAAGACCCCAUGGAGCUUUACUCCAGCUUGAUACUGGGAUUCGGUAUUGCAUGUACAGGAUAGGUGGGAGGCUAGGAAGUGAUAACGCCAGUUGUCACGGAGCCGCUGUUGGGAUACCACCCUUGCAGUAUUGGAUUUCUAACCAGCGACCAUGAACUGGUCGGGGGACAAUGUCAGGUGGGGAGUUUGACUGGGGCGGUCGCCUCCGAAAGGGUAUCGGAGGCGCUCAAAGGUUCCCUCAGAAUGGACGGAAACCAUUCGAAGAGUGCAAAGGCAGAAGGGAGCUUGACUGCGACACCGACGGGUGGAGCAGGUACGAAAGUAGGACUUAGUGAUCCGGUGGUAUAAAGUGGAUUGCCAUCGCUCAACGGAUAAAAGCUACCCUGGGAUAACAGGCUUAUCACUCCCAAGAGUUCACAUCGACGGAGUGGUUUGGCACCUCGAUGUCGGCUCAUCGCAUCCUGGGGCUGAAGUAGGUCCCAAGGGUUGGGCUGUUCGCCCAUUAAAGCGGUACGCGAGCUGGGUUCAGAACGUCGUGAGACAGUUCGGUCCCUAUCCGGCGUGGGCGCAGGAUAUUUGAGAGGAGCUGUCCUUAGUACGAGAGGACCGGGAUGGACUGGCCGCUGGUGUAUCUGUUGCAUACCAAAUGCAUGGCAGAGUAGCCAAGCCGGGACGGGAUAAACGCUGAAGGCAUCUAAGCGUGAAGCCCCCCUCAAGAUGAGAUAUCCCUACGUAAGUAGUAAGACCCCUUGAAGACGACGAGGUAGAUAGGUCAGAGGUGGAAGUACAGUAAUGUAUGGAGCUGACUGAUACUAAUCGGUCGAGGGCAUGACC